CACUCCUCCGCGGCGGCGGGGGAGGAGAUCACCACCACGAGGCGGCUCCCCAAACGGAGAGAGAAGAUGGGGCCCAGCUUCUGAGAGAGGUCGUAGUAGGUACGAUGAAUAGGGAAUUUGAGGAGGUGGAGGUGCCCUAACAGAGGAAGAGCCGCCGCCGGACUCGGUGGGAGUUUUCUUUGCCCGGAUUUUGCGGAAAACUUGAAGGCUAUAAGAACAAGGAAGAGAGAGAGUAGAGCAUAUAUCCACGUAAUUGUUUCCAUGCUUAUUGAUUUAUUGUUAUAUGCUGUGUGUAUCUGUAAUAUAUAUAGAGAGAGUGAGAGAGAGAGAGUGUGUGUGUGUGGGGUGGAUGAAAGGCGGGGGCCCCUUUGCUCAGCUGUAUGCGGCUGUUUUUCAGAAAAUCAGAAAGAGAAAAGAAAUUGUUUUUUUAUACCUAAUUUGACCCAUGGUCAGUCAUCUUUGACCGGAUUUUUCAGAGCUAUGAAAAUUCAAAAAAACUACAAGUCAAACUGAAUUUGAGCUACACCAUGAGAACUUGAACAUGACACUUUAAGGGGAUGUUUGGUUAUGUUUCUUAUAGGAAUUUCUAAUUUUCAAAAUUUCUGAUGGAAAAAAGUAGUUUAUUGGUUUUUGUAUAAAAAAUGAGAAUAUGUUUGGAUGAAUGAGUAUUUUUUAUUUUAUGUAGGUGUAAAAAUGGAAAUAUGUUUGGUUGUGGUGAAUUUUCUCUACAAAAGUACGCGCAAAAGUAGAAUAUAAUGAUUGAAGAUGAUGAUAGUAAUGAUGACUAUUAUUAUUAUUAUUAUUAUUAUUAUUAUUAUUAUUAUUAUUAUUAUUAUUAUUAUUAUUAUUAUUAUUAUUAUUAUUAUUAUUAUUAUUAUUAUUAUUAUUAUUAUUAUUAUUAGUAGUAGUAGUAGUAGAUACAUAAAUUGUGAGGAAAGAAAGUGUAGAUAUUAAUGAGGAGAGAUAAAUGAGUUGAUGGAAUAAAAUAUAUAAGUUAGUAGUAAGUUUUAGUAGGUUUGAAAAUUGAAAAAAGUAUGAAUAGUGUAUUUUCAAUAGAAAUUUGAUAAGAAAAAAAUGGGAUUUUCUGGAUAAAAUUGUGAAACAAACAUGAUCUCGAUUUUAUGAAUAGUAUAGAACUGGAAAUUGGUUUUGGAAAUGAAACCAAACAUAUACUAAAAAUCUUGAUAUUCGGAAUAUGUUUAUAAUUUUUUAAUAAAUAUAAUUUUCUUAAUGUAAAUUUUCAUAAUUGAUUCGGGCCCAGAUAAAAGCUCGAACUCAGACUCGAAUUUUUCGUGUUCGAACUUUCUGACGAACCGAGUUUGAGCCAGUUUUUAGUUUUUCGUGAGUUCACGAGACGGCUCGCGAGCCUUAUUUAUUAUUAAUUUUUUUUAUAUAUUAUAUUUUAUUUAAAUAAUGUAUAAUAAUAUAAAAUAUUAUAGAAAUAAAUAAAAAUAUAUAUAAUUACAAUUAAUUGUUUAUUUUGUAAAUUUAUAAAAAUAAUUUUUAAUAAUAAUAAAAUAAUAUUAAACAAAAAUCAACAAAUAGCUCGAGCACGACAAAAUGGACACGAGCUCGAGCUCGGGCCAAAAAGAAAGAACUCGACGUGCUCGAGCUCAAGAAAAGAGGCAAGUUCGGCUCUUUCACACGAGAGUCCAUCUCGGGUGACUGACCCAAAGAUAAAUAAUGAAGAUUUGGAAGUGAAAUUGGCGAAAGAGUCAACUUCAAUUCGCGAUCUAGCUAAGUUACUGGAAAAGUAAAGCCCAGUUUUCGAAAACUCAUCUCGAAUAGUACUUAGCUCUAGGAGAGGAGUUCGUAAGUAGUCAUACCGGGGAGACUUCUUGGCCGGCUUGGAAGGCACGUUGCGAGAUCAAUUUCAUAGCAUCUAAAUAACCCAUUGAGAAAGAAUUUUUAAGGAGGAGAAUCUUGUUGCUUAAGGAAAAUAUAUUCUAUCCCAAAGAUGGACUUAUGAGAACCUAACCCUAUGUAUGUAUGAUGUAUCCGAUAGACAAAAAUUGAGGGCAUGACAUAAUUCGGAAAAUAGAUACCAAAAAGAACUAUAGUUGUCUGUUUCUCUUAACAAUAAUUGUCUCUUCUCCAAGGUCCGAAUUAGAUAGUCGUUAAUAGAAAGAAGCUUAAUUUCACUUUACACCCUUGAAAUAACACUAUUUGGACACUUUCCAUCUUGAAAAAUAAUUUACAGCACUUUGCACCUUCAAAACAUGUUUAAUCAUUUAAAGGGCACUCUAGUAUAUUUUUGGGUCAUAAUUUUUUGUCAUUAACUUAGGGGUUUGCUAUUAUCAGUGCGGUUUUUACCACUCGCAGUGCAAAAUAAUUCAUUUUUUUUUUCCAAAUCUUAUCCAAAUUAAACUUCCUCUCAAACACUCUCAACUUUUAAUUCUCGAAAUUUUUCAAAUUCAGCAAUUUUUCAACCAAUAUCAGUUAGAGCACAAGUAUUAUCGGCAUGGAUGACAACGACUUCGAUUUUGAGGUGAAAAUACACGUUUUUUGUUCAUUUCCAACGUUUUUAGACAUUUCGUGUUAUAACACACGAAAUAUAUGCUUUCGUUUCGUGUAAUACUAUACGAAAUAUGUCUUAAAAUCGUUUGUUGUUUGUUUCGUAUAAAAGCAUACGAAAUUAAAGCUUACAUUUCGUAGUAAAACGUACGAAAUGGAAGCUCUUAUUUCGUAUGUUUUUACACGAAAUGGUAGCUUACAUUUCGUAUGUUUUUCUACGAAAUCCCUUAAAUAUUGUCUUUUAAUUUCAAAUAUUUAUGUAGGAACUAAGAGAACAAUCUCAUGAUCAAAGUCACUUCUUUGAACGUGAUAUUGUGUGUGAUAGUAGAGAAGCAUUAAUUAUGUGGGCAAAAGACACAACAAUUAGUCAUAAUCAUCGACUGAUUAAUCAUUGUAAAUCAGAAAAAUAUCAUGUUUUAACGUGUGCGAGAUAUUAAUCUGGACGACACGUACUAUUGAAGAAACGUUCUUGUCCGUUCAGGUUAAUGGACAAAAAAUCAACGGAGGAUGGAUUAUGGCGAUUGAGUGUGAGUAAUGGUAAUCAUAACCAUCUGCCAGGUAUUUGAUAGUUUAACUUAUGUUUAAAUAUGUAUUUGUUUUAAUUUUGCAUUUUAAUGAUUAAUUUAUGUUUUGGAAUAUUUAAAUUUGUAGCGUUGUGUUUUGCAUUUUUUUAUGUUUAAACUAUGUUUUUUGAAUGAUUAAACUUGUAAGGUUGUUUGUAAGGUUGUUUGAAUGUGUAUUUUAAUUGCUUCAGUUGUACGUAAGUUCUAAAUUCAAAUCAUAAAACUAGUGAAUUAAAAUACAAAACAAAACAACAAGCAAGUAAAUUAAAUAGUUCGUAAUAAUAAUAAACAAAAUUAGUAAAAUAAUUAGUUCCUAAUAAUAAUAAAAAUAAAUUAUUAAUUUAAAUAGUUCCUAAGAAUAAUAAAAAUGCAUAGUCCUAAUAAUAAUAAAAAUAAACUUUCAAAUUAAAUAGUUCAUAAAAAUACAUAACUAGCAAAAAAAACCGAUAAACUACCGCCUCGCUCUUCUCGACGGCUGCACCUCAUGAUCGUCAUCGUCGUCGUCGUUGUCCUGGUCGAUGCCAAUAUAUCGGGCGACGGGCUGCAUAAUAUCUUCAAGGUCGGCACGUAGAUCGACAACCUGCUGCAUCCAGUCCUGUCCAGUGCUCCUGGUGAUCGGGUACAAUGCACGUACUAUCUGGUAAUAAGCCGGCUGAUCUGGUGGCCUCACAUUCUCUCGAUGCACUGGAGUCGAGCCUACGUCGGGGUUGAUGAUCUUCAGAUGAGUCCGAUCGGUGUACCACUCUAUGUAGUGCUCGUCGACUUCCCCCCGUUGUCGUGUCGUCUUGUAUACGUUGGCACGAAUGGAAUGAGCCUGGACCAUGUCCCACAUACCACUCGGAAAUGGGUAGUUGACUUUGUACGAUGUACAUCCUUUGGGACCGCGUGAACAUGGCUCCAUCGAUGGAAUCAAGCCGCGCGGAAUAUCCUGAACCCACCCGAACUGUCGGACGCAACGAUCAGGCAUAUACGGCUCUACGACCCACAUGUCGUGGAUUGUGCCAUGAUACAACGUACGAGGGAUACUCUCGUGUAUAUCUCGACCAUACGGUAGCCACUCAACCUAAAUAGAAAACAAUAUAAAUACAUAAAUCAAAAAAUUCAUAUUUAAACAAACUACAAACAUAAACCGAAAAAUUCAUAUUUAAAAAAAUAUAUAAACACAUAAAUCAAAAAAUUCAUAUUUAAAAAAAAAUUAAAUACAUAAAUAUAAAAAACUUACAUCAUCCGCUGUCAUAUAAUCAAGUAAACUUCGAAUAUGCUCGAGCGUGCCCGCUUUUGGCAGCGCGUUCCACCUCUUGCAUCGAGGCUGAAACUCGCAGUACUGUUCGCUCUCCUCCGGCGGCUGGAAUCUCGGGAAAUACUCGUAUAUCCAUCACUGCAAUAUUUUAGUUAAAGAUAUUAAAAUUUAUAAAAAUAUAUUAAAAUUUACAAAAUAUAUUAAAAUUUAUUAAAAUAUUUUAAAAUGAAUAAAAUAAGUACAAAAUAUAUUAAAAUUUACCUGAAGAAAGAAAGGUGGUGCAACCCGCCAAGCUCCUCGACUGUGCUCGGCUGCAUAUACCCAAAUCCCUGUAUAGAUUGGCCAAACAUGCCGAACCCCACGAAUACAUGCCGACAUCAUCAAGCACUGAAUCUACGAGCACGUGCAUAUACCACGACUUCACCCGAUCACAUGUCUUGUCGGUGAAUAAAAUCGAUCCGAGGAGAAACACCAUAUAUAUCUGAACUCGGCGUCUCAUGGGCGUGUCGGGCAUCAACAACUAUCCAUGUAUCAUCCUCCAUGUGGGGCCCCCACGCUUCCAUGACUCGUCAAUCUCCUCAAAAUCGAGGUGUAAUACCUCGGACAGCAAAUACACGCAGUUUGUCCUCUCGAUGACCUCAUCGUACCUAGGCGCGACCACCCGUCCCUCCACAUUGGCACCUAGAAUCAUCUGGACAUCGUCAUAGUCAUCUCUCCCCACGGCAUAUGGAAGCUGUUUGUAAAUAACUUCGGGUUAGGGGAUACAAACUGGUCAUCCGCAGAAAAUGCUUGUCUACGGAUACAUCUAUGUCUUCUAGGGCAGCUGCUAUCUUCUCGUAAUAGAAAUGGUUCAGGGAGUUGAUACGGGUCUCCAGUCGUCCAACCGGACGUUCCUGCAAUCAUUUAUUUAGCAACCUUAUUAAUUAAUCAACUAUAAAAAUAUUUUAAUAUAAGAUACAUAAAUUAUAAUAUAAAAUUAAAACAAGUAAUUAACUUACUUCUCCCCUCCAAAUAUAUGCCGCUACGUGCGACUUGAAACUCGUAAUCAAAGACGGAUCCCGCGGGCCACCGGGAAAUGGACCAUCUAGCACAUCCGGAUUAACUCGAGUAUGAGCUCGACCACCACGACCUCCACGGCCCCGUCGUCGGCAUCCAUAACCUCCACGAACUACAACCUCAGUCUCGUGAACGGGGUCCACAGCAUCCUCCUCCUCUACCAUAGCACGAGAAGACCCAACAUCGGGAUCUGCAACUGAUGAUCUGGCUUCACCAGCUCUCUCAGCCUCUCGUCUACGUCGUGUAGACAUAGUCAUGCGCUCGCGCUCGCGCUCUUGAUGCUCAGCCUCUUCACGAACUGCUCGCAUAAUUGCCUUUGAUUUGCCUUUGCCUGCCAUAUGUUAAAGAAGACGCCAUUAACGUCAGUAUAAAUAAUAAUAAUAAAUAAAACAAAGCUUAAAAUAAAUGAAAUUUUCCAGUUAUUUCGUGGAAAAACACACGAAAUUAAUGCUUGCAUUUCGUGUUUGUGUUCACCAAAGACAAGCACUAAUUUCGUGUGUUUUUCCACGAAAUAACUGGAAUAUGGCCGAAACUCUUACGUUUCGUGCAAAAUCUUACAAAACAAAAGCUCACAUUUCGUGAGAAAUCUCACUAAAUAAUCAAAUUGAAUAAUACCAGAAUAAUCCCUUUAAUGAUGACGUCAGUGUAGGAUUCAGGGUCUGAUUCUUGGAAAGAGAGCAAAUGAUCAAUCAUGGUAUUUGUGUUCUUAUUGGAUCUGUGUUCAUCUAUCAAGCCUUGUAAGAAAUCAUCCAGUUUCCCACUCAGCUUCGUCAAAUUCUUCUCGAAAUUCUUGUAAUCAAUCCAUCUCAGCACCGGGAAGAAAUCCACCGGAUUUGACGCGCCGCCGUAGGAGAAAGCUUCCUUUAUAAGCCCUCGAAACCGCUCGGCCUCGUCAUUCUCCUCGCCGAAGUAGCGUUUUCCGGCAACCAUUCUCAUGAUAUUGUUAAACGUGAGCUCCGUAAAAAGGGGCCUGAGUUCGACUCGGGCGAAAUCUCCUAACGAGUUGCCACCGAGCUUCUCCAGCAUACGUUUCACUUCGUCUUCUCUGAUUGAUCGGAACGUGUUCAGACGCGCCGACGAGAAGAUUUCGACCGUCGUCAAGCGGCGGAGGUUGCGCCAGUGGUCGCCGUACGACGAGCCCACAACGGUGGUGUAGUUGUAGCCGAUGUACUUUCCGAUGAGGAAACGGGGCCUGUUGGCUAAAACGACGUCGUUCUUUGUGAAGCACUCCUCUGCGGUGGCGGGGGAGGAGAUCACUACCACGAGGCGGCUCCCCAAACGGAGAGAGAAAAUGGGGCCCAGCUUCUGAGAGAGGUUGUAGCAGGUACGAUGAAGUGGAAAUUUGAGGAGGUGGAGGUGCCCCAACAGAGGAAGCGCCGCCGCCGGACUCGGUGGGAAUUUUCUUUGCCCGGAUUUUGCAGAAAACUUGAAAACGAUAAGAACAAACAAGAGAGAGAGUAAAGCAUAUAUCCACGUAAUUGUUUCCAUGCUUAUUGAUUUACUAUUAUUAUAUGCUGUGUGUAUCUGUAAUAUAUAUAGAUAUUAUAUAUAUAUAUAGAGAGAGAGAGAGGGGAUUAAAGGCGGGGACCCUUUGCUCAGCUGUAUGUGGCUGUUUUUCCGAGUGGGAUCCUUUUUGUCUUUUUGUUUGAACGUUACAGUUCACCAUAGUCGUUGGAAAUGUAUUAUUUGAAGAAGUAGUUCGGUAAACGGUAUGAAAUGUUGGCGUAUUGAAAUUUCAGUUCGGUUUUAUUAGUUUACUCUAAUUGGUGGCCGUAAUUUACCCUAAAUAUAAUUGAACUUUGAAAAUUGUACUUGAACUUGACUUGGCAAACAAUUGAAUCGAGUCCGAACGAGUUUUAGUUGAGUGGAACACGAAUUAAACUCGAGAUCAUAUUUCAUCGAUCAUACUCUUGCCCUAAUUGAGCUCUUGUUAAAACCAACUUCCAUAGUUUAUAUAACUAAUUAAAAUAUAUAUUUAAAUUUGAUUUCAUUGCAUUAGAAAUAUUUACUAAUUUGAUUUUUAUGCCCAAGUGAAUACACAACACACAGUAUCUUACAAGCUCAUCAAAUGCUACACUUCGUGAAAUAUAUUAUAUAUUUUUAAAUCGUGGAACUGCAUAAAUAACUAUGAUCUAUGUAUAUAUACACGUGGCUGUUUGUUAUUACGACUCGAUCAAAAGUGUAAAACUACACAUGUAUUUCAUUUGGUGCAGAUUAUACUAAAAUUUAUCUUACAUAAAAAUAAAAUAUAGUGACGUAAGCAGUGAGCAAAGAUUCAUGACAACUUUUCUGUUUCGUAAGUGAUUAAAUGUGUACGUGUUAGCUUCUUGUACGUCAACAUGUUGGCUUUCUGGGGCUUAAAUCCAGAAAGAGAAAAGAAAUUGCUUUUUUAUACGUAAUUUGACCCAUAGUCUGUCAUCUUUGACCUUUCUAAUUUGGAUUUUUCAAAACUUUGAAAAUUAAUAAAAAAGUACAAGUCAAAUUUAAUUUGAGCUACACCACGAGAAGUAUACUUUAAGAUACUAAAAAUCAUGAUAUUCGGAAUAUAUUUAUAAUUUUUAAUAAAUAUGAUUUUUGUUUUUUAAUGUAAAUUUUUAUAAUUGAUCCAGGCCCAGAUUACAGCAGCCCAUAAUAAAGAGAGCCCAACCUGGCCAUGCAAAAAGCCCACAUAACAAGCCUGGAAAAGGCCCGAACCAAUAAAUAAAGAGGCGUAUCAUGAAAUAAAAUAUAGCAGUCAAAUCAUGUCCGUUGUUGAGAGAAACUUUAGAAGUCAUUUUGGGAUUUUUUUUUUAAAGCUAAAUAAACAUGGUUCGUUUCGAAUGAAGAAAAAAAGUGGGAUGAAAACUCCGACAUAAUUCCGGUCUUCUUUCUUAUUCAAAUACUCUACAAAUCUUAUCCUUCUCGGAUCCGGACAACGUCAUCCACCAACAUUGCGGGUCCCGGUCAAAAAGAGAUUCCAGAUGGACCAAUAAUUAUUUUUGGAAAUCGAAAUCUUAAUACAUAUUACAAUUUCAAUUCGAAAUAUCUGACGAAAUUAUUUUCGAAAAUUCAGAAUAGAAUAUUCUAUUCAAAAGUUAGAUAAUUUCGAAUUGAAAUCGACGGGUUUUGUAAUAUCAUCAUAAUUUCUAUCUCUAGUAAUGAUUCGGGAAAAAUAAAUACUAUUUAUAAAAAUGAAACGUGAUCGAUAAUUAUUUUGGGCCACUAACUGGGAGAUCUUGUUUCUCGAUUAGACGGUUGUUGCCGAUUUGUGAACCGAGUUCGAAUUUGGCCCUUUGAGGGGCUUGAGGGUGGUUGAGCAAUAGGGACAUUGCCCAUUCUAUGGUCACCACUGAUGUAUUUGUAGCCAUAAUUAUCAUGUUCUAUAAUUAUAGGAAAAUGCGAAAGAAAAAAAAAUGUAAACGUUAUUAGUUAUGUUAAAUUCCGAACACCUCAAUUCAAAAUUUUGAAAUCACCACGGACAUAUUAGAGCGAGUUAAUCUUGGAUGGUAAUUUUUUUUGUGUAAUUUAAUGUGAUUAGAUGUUAUACCUAGUUAUUUACACUGUAUGUAUUUCAUCCAUAAAUCUACACAUAAUUACACACGUCCAAGUAUAUGUGUGCUUAUGAUACGUGCAUAAUUUAAUUAGUGGAACAAGUUAGUUAGAUUAGUAAGUUAGUGGGUUAAUUAGUGGGGGUGAUUUGAUUAAUUAAUGGGUUAGUGGGAUGGUAGUUUAAUUAUUAUUUAUGAGUAUUAUAAAUAGGGUAAUUAGACUGUUGCGUGAUAGGCAAAUUAAUGAAGUUUAUGAAUCAAUUAUCUUCCUUUUGUCUUCUCUAAUUCUUCUUCUAAUUCUCCUCAUAAUUCAUAUAUCUCGAUUUCUUCUUAAUUCUCAAACUAUGUUUUCUUGCUCAAAUUACCACGUAACAAUGGUAUCAGAGCCGUUACGUUCCAUGGAGGCACGUAACCAAUCAGAUUCUGAGUUUCGUGCUGAGGUUAUUGAAACCCUAGCUCGACACGAAUCAAAUUUCGACAAAAUACACAACACCCUCCAAGUUGUUCUCACCGAACUUCGAGCUCUAAGAGCCUCCUCCAAAGCCGAAAAUGAUGUCAACUCCUUUGUUGUGGGAGAAACACCACUACCGGUCAAGCAAAAAAUAAAUAUACCUACAACACACUCAACUCCAUACCCUGCCCCAAAUACAAACCUCAAACAACAAAUUCCAAAAGUCGCCGCAGAUAACGCAACGGAAUGGAUUUUCCAAGCCAAGCAAUAUUUUGAAUUUCAAAGUAUUGCCCAAAAUCAGCAGGUGCACCUCGAAUCAUUUCGUUUGGAAGGACUCACUUUGGAACGGAAUCGCCGGUUAAUUGGGUUCAAGGGCUCGUCGGCCAGGGAAUAUUUUACUAAGGCGUUGCUCUACCGUUUUAGUCCUACCGAAUUUGACGAUCCUUCCGAAGCCCUCACUCGUUUCAUGAAACAAACACUCAUUGAUGCCAUUUACCAUGAAGAGUUCGAACAACUCUCUCAAAUAUGUGAUGGAUCACCCGAUCAACUGAAUUCACAAAAUGAUCUCAUACACGUAUCAAGACUAUAUCCUUGAGGACAGGGAUAUUUUGAGCGGGCGGGAAUGAUAUGUUUUAUUAUUUAAUUUAAUUAGAAUUAGUCAAAUUAUAUGUUAGUGGGUAGUUUUUUAUUAGUGGGCAUGAAUUAAAUUAGUGGGUUAGUGUGGUUUAAGGGGUUAGUGGGGUGGUAGUUAAUUAUUAUUUAUGAGUAUUAUAAAUAGGGUAAUUAGAAUGUUACGUGAUAGGCAAAUUAAUGAAGUUUAUGAAUCAAUUAUCUUCCUUUUGUCUUCUCUAAUUCUUCUUCUAAUUCUCCUCAUAAUUCAUAUAUCUCGAUUUCUCUUAAUUCUCAAACUAUGUUUUCUUGCUCAAAUUACAACGUAACAGCUUAGUGGUGGUUAUUUAAUCAGAUCUAUGAUUGAAAUUCACCUGAUGUAAUAAAAACAAGGUGUAGUAUCUAACUCUCCGUGUAAUCUACGACAUUUAUAGUUUUUUUCUAGACAUUGAACUCUUUUUCGGAUUUAAAUAUGAGCAUAGUUCAUUUUCUUUAGUUUUUUAUGCUAUAGUUAGACAUGAAAUCGGUAAUUCUUCACCCCAAACAAGGUAUAUAUUACAUCUGGUGAAACACAUCGCGAUAGACCUUCACCGUUCACCUACACACCCAUAUAGAUGUGUGUGUUUCAUAUGUGAAUAAAUGGUAAAACUAUAUCCGACCUAUUUCAGCCAAUACAUAUUUCUCUUUCUCGUUUAAAUAUGUAUUUAAUAAAAUCAUAAAUAAUCAACAAGUCACAUGUUUAAUGAGUGUAAAGUAUAACCACAUUUUUUUAACUAAAUAUUUAAUGAAACAUAGUACUGAUUAAUAAGGUCCUGAAACAUAGAGCACGCGAUGUAAAUUGUAAUACACAUUGACAAACCAUGAGAUUCUCAGAUUGCUCCAUGAAGACCUAUUUGAAGGACAUCACGUGAUUUGCACAUGGCCUCCAACGGCGUGAGUUUGGGCAUCGACAACCCUCUCCCUUCCGUCAAAUCCACUAACGCCCCGUCAACCGUCCGCCACUCGAAACACUGAAUCAAAGACCCCAAACCCAAACCCAUGACCCGAUUCGCCAGACCCACACCCGGGCACGACCUCCUCCCCAUUCCAAACGGCAUCAGCUUCGGCGCUCCUACUUCUCCGCCACCUUCAAACCGCUCCGGCUUGAAGCUCGUCGCGUCAUCCCACACCGUAGGAUCCCUGUGGAUCGCCCACGCAUUCACCAGCAAGAUCGUGCCACGUGGAAUAUCGUAUCCCGCCACCUUGCAGUCAGCGGAUGCUUCGUGCGGAACCAGUAACGGCGUCGCCGGAAACAACCUCAGAGUUUCAGAAAUUAUGCUCUGAAGGUACGGCAGAUUUUGUAUGUCUGAUUCGUUGAUCAAUCGACCUUUUCCGACAACGGUGUCCACCUCAGCUCUCGCCCUCUCCAUCUUUUCAGGGUGGUUGAGCAGCGCCGACAUCGCCCAUUCUAUAGUCACCGACGAUGUGUCUGUUCCGGCAAGUACCAUAACCUGUAUCAAAUUCAUCAAAAUAUAUUUUUUCAGUACUUAAAAAUACGGUAAAUUUUGAAAACUCCCCUAAACUUAAAUUAAAUUACAAAAACCACCUUCAUCUAGUCGUAAUUACCAAGAACUCACUGAUGUGGGUUUCCGUCUUACACUGACCCUUACAACAUGACUUUGGAUUUUUUUUUUCUUUUCAGAAAAUAGACUUUACAUCAAAUAUUUUCUUAUAUUUUCCAUCUAUUUAACAUAAAGUAUUAUAAAUUGUACACAUUUUCUAUCAAAAAAUUCAAUCAACACUUUGUAAGAGGGGAUUUUGAUUAUUACGGAUAAGUUGGGUGUUUUUCGUUAUUUAUCUUAAGUUUAGGGUUUUUUCGUAAUUUACCAAAAUAAUAAUGAAGGAUAAUCGAAUUAAUUAAUUACCAGAAUAAUGCCUUUAAUGAUGACGUCAGUGUAGGAUUCAGGGUCUGAUUCUUGGAAAGAGAGCAAAUGAUCAAUCAUGGUAUUUGUGUUCUUAUUGGAUCUGUGUUCAUCUAUCAAGCCUUGUAAGAAACUAUCGAGUUUCCCACUCAGCCUCGUCAGAUUCUUCUCGAAAUUCUUGUAAUCAAUCCAUCUCAGCACCGGGAAGAAAUCCGCCGGAUUUGAUGCGUCGCUGUAGGAGAAAGCUUCCUCUAUAAGCUCUCGAAGCCGCUCGGCCUCGUCGUUGUCCUCGCCGAAGUACCGUUUUCCGGCGACCAUUCUCAUAAUAUUAUUAAAAGUGAGCUCCGAAAAAGGGGGCCUGAGUUCGACUCGGGCGAAAUCUCCGACCGAGUUGCCACCGAGCUUCUCCAGCAUACGUUUCACUUCGUCUUCUCUUAUUGACCGGAACGUGCUCAGACGCGCCGACGAUAAGAUUUCGACCGUCGUCACGCGGCGGAGGUUGCGCCAGUAGUCGCCGUACGGGGAGCCCACGACGGUGGUGUAGUUGUAGCCGAUGUAUUUGCCGCUGAGAAAACGGGGCCUGUUGGCAAAAACGACGUCGUUCUUUGUGAAGCACUCCUCUGCGACGGCGGGGGAGGAGAUAACCACCACGAGGCGGCUCCCCAAACGGAGAGAGAAGAUGGGGCCCAGCUUCUGAGAGAGGUCGUAGUAGGUACGAUGAAUUGGGAAUUUGAGGAGGUGGAGGUGCCCUAACAGAGGAAGCGCCGUCGCCGGACUCGGUGGGAGUUUUCUUUGCCCGGAUUUUGCGGA
Molecule: long non-coding RNA, 12671 nt
Filed under: Erythranthe guttata (spotted monkey flower)
Lineage: Eukaryota; Viridiplantae; Streptophyta; Magnoliopsida; Lamiales; Phrymaceae
Description: long non-coding RNA (EGUT_LNC000215)
Source: RNAcentral